Molecule: RNA transcript, 4172 nt
Organism: Hippocampus zosterae (dwarf seahorse)
Lineage: Eukaryota; Metazoa; Chordata; Actinopteri; Syngnathiformes; Syngnathidae
Exons: 4
Source: RefSeq, a predicted model, not a curated record
GCUCGUCUCGAUUCGAUCAAAACAUUGGGCGCAUCUACACAAUCAAACGAGAUACGGUGCUAAUCCGAUUUUUGAAUGGAAAUUUAUUUCGACCGUCAAAAACGAUCAAUCAUGCGAGAAAUUUUGGAGUACAAAUAUGUUUUGAACGCAAUAAUAGAUCACUCUACCUGGCUAAUUAUAUUGUAAACGACGGUUUACAGUUGCUUUUUCGAAGAAAUGAUGAAUAGUCAGCUCGUCGUAAAAACAAAAAAUAUGACAUUUAAUGAUCUCUCGCGUGUUUUCUCAAACAUAUAAACUGUUCCAAGACGUCCAUUUUGUUGUUUUGCAGCAAUAAGGAGUCAAAGUAUACAUCCCUAACGUCGUAAUCGAAAUUUGAAUAUUCAAUGAGUACUCAUUAAGUAUUCACAAGGCCAGACAGAAUGACUAUUUUGGUCAUUUUAGUGAUUUAUUUUACAUUGUUCGGUUGCCUGAACGUCGGCAUUUAAAAAAUGACCAAAAUGCACAUCUGUGCUUUUCAAGCGACAGCGUUAGACAUAACAACACUGGCUGACAGGCUGUAAAAGGUAGCAGUAGCAGCAGCAGCAGCAGCACAGGGCGUCCUUUUGUGUGCUUGAGGAGCUGUAUGAUGUCACUUGAGUGAACCUUGGCCUCAGUUUCAUGGACUGUGUGACAUUUGAACAGGCAUCAGUCAACGCUUCUGAACCUGCGCUUUGAAAUGGCAUUCCUGGUUCCAUGUUAAAUUAAGAUCUACAAUGACAGACACAACAUUUUCUCCAAAGCGCAUGUUCAGAAGCAGUGAGUGAUGUUGUUGUCAGCUUCCACGUGUGUCAGUGUUGUGCAGUCCAUGCUUGUCAAGCAGACAACACGGCGUCCUCUGCUGCUGGCUUAACUUUUGUUACAAUUUCGACCAUUUUUUUGUAGAUUUUUGCGUGUUGUCAUCUCUAAAUCAAUGACAAAGCAUAAAAAUUGUGUGACAUGAAAUAUUCCAAUUCAUGUUUUAUGUACAUAGACAUCGAUAUUUGUUUUGGUCAUGGCACAGUACCGCUUUUAUUGUCCAUAGAGAGCAAAAAUACAACAAAAAACUCCGACGUGUAUGUAUAGCGCUGAUGCCACUGAACAUGUCAAGUGGUUGAAAGUAAAAUAAAUAUUUAGGAAUAAUACUUUUACGAGUUUUUAAAAAAUUGUAUGUUGAAUUAAAAGGAGAGAUGCCGACGCUCGUUCCUACUGACUGCUGUCAGGCUGCUGACUAAAAAUAAUAAUAAUAAUAAUAUGAUGUGAAAGACAAUUGUAAAUAGCAGUGCGAUUUAUCCAUUUUGUGUUUAUAUUGCACAUUAUAUAAAAUUAUUGACAUCAACUGCAGCACAAGGGUUAAAUGUAUUGCCUGUCAGCCAGUGUCGGUGUUAAACUUGAGUCAAGCUUUGUUGCUAAAAUGAUGUGAAAUUGUUUUUAAAAAGUGCUUGUCAAUAUAUUGUCCGGCAGGAAUCAGAGUCUGCGUGUUUUGUGUCUCACCGAGUUUAAUUAAAGCGGCCUUGUUAUGGACGGCAACCGGAGUUGUUGGGGUUUUGUCCUGGAAGACGUUUGGCCUCUGGUCCGAGCAGACUUCUUGGAUUGAUGCUCAAGGCCAAAAAGGGCGAGCUGUCCUUUCUGGCGUUUGCGCAUGAACCCAGGAAACCUGCUCGGUCCAGAGGCCAAACGUCUUCCAGGACAAAACCCCAACAAUUCCGGUUGCCGUCCGUAACCACACGCACUUUACCAUGCAGGACCAGAAUUUUUAUGUCAAUUUGUUUGCAGACCCCGCCCAAGAUUGCAGAAAUCAACCAAUCACAAUGCGGCAUGCAAAUUUUCCCCCGCAUAACCCCGCCCACACAAGUCCGGAGGAACCAAUCAGGUUGUGGCAUGCAAAUUUUAUUUGCAUAUGCCACGCCCAGUCGCCCCAAAUUUUAAUAUGCAAAUAGAUCUGCAUGCCCCCGCCCCACCUGAUUAGCAUACCCAAUCAGAUCCCAGCAUGCAAAUUUAUUUGCAUAACCACGCCCACAAUCGCCAGGAGCGGCCAAUCAAAAGAAGGCAUGCAAAUUAAUUUGCAUAGCCACGCCCACUUUGAGCAAAAUUUUGGGGUUUUAUUUGCGUGGCCCCGCCCACACUGGCACCAGCCAAUCAGGAGUGUGGUAUGUAAAUAUAAUUUGCAUGACCCCGCCUACAUUAACCGGGUCCGGCCAAUCAGAUGGUGGCAUGUAAAUUUUAUUUGCAUAGAUUCCGCCCAGCUCACCGUUUUGCAUGGCCACGCCCCAAAUUACCAGCCAACCAAUCACAAUGGGGCAUAAAAUUUUAUUUGCAUAGCCCCGCCCACAAGCGCCCACUUCAACCAAUCAGUGCUUUAUCACAACAUAUUUGCAUAACUCCACCCACCCACAGGAUUCGCAUAACCACUCCCAUAAUGCUAAUUUAUACUCAUUAGCAUAGCCCCGCCCACUCACAACAGCCAAUCGGAUUGCUCCGUAUUUGCAUAGCCACACCCCCAAUCCUACCCACUUUUUUAAAUGAAGGAAGGAGAGGUUUGUUCUCAUUUUAUUUUACAUGUUUAAAGAAAACAUCAGUCAAAGUAAAAAAAAAGUCAAAGUAAAAAAAAAGUCAAAGUAAAAAAAAAGUCAAAGUAAAAAAAAAGUCAAAGUAAAAAAAAAGUCAAAGUAAAAAAAAAGUCAAAGUAAAAAAAAAGUCAAAGUAAAAAAAAAGUCAAAGUAAAAAAAAAGUCAAAGUAAAAAAAAAGUCAAAGUAAAAAAAAAGUCAAAGUAAAAAAAAAGUCAAAGUAAAAAAAAAGUCAAAGUAAAAAAAAGUUAGCGUUAAAAUGACAAAAAAGUGUUUAAAAAUAUUACUCACCGAAAAUGUUGAAGUUGGAUGACUUUGCAGCCUUCUACUUUUCGUUGCCUGGCGAAGUCAGCCUGUGUGACAGCAGCGCUGGACUAACACGUGGACCUGAGACAAAAAUGAGAUUGGCGAGUCUCGAGUCACCUUGUGCAGGAAAUGCAAUUUCAAAUGUGAUCAAACUCACCAGCACAGAAGGUGAUGCCACACAAGUUGUCUGGGACUCUGACCAAGUGCUCGCACGUUCAGCUCCUGUGCAACAAACAAUAUGGCGUCAAAGAAGGACUAAAAACUGUCAAGCAUUCAAAACUUACUGCCCAUUGUGGAACCUCUUCCAGCCGAUUGCAUCAAGCCAAGUGUUGGACGACAGUCGCCGCCUGGUGAAGGGGACCCAAGAAAAAGGACACCGGCUUACAGCGCAUUUCUGGAGGGAGACGAGCCAGGGAGAUGUCCAACCGCUUCCGAGGGCCUCAGACUGGACAAGCCUGAACACAAACAGGAGCAGGUGCAGACUCCACGAUGGCACCAACUGGAUGCUUCUCUGCACAGUCAAAAAGAAAAAGGAAAAAAAACAGAAGGGGGGAAAAAAAUGCUCGUUUGCGUCUUGGCUCAUCUCAGAACGUUGAUCAUAACGUUACGGUCUGUCCACCACCUGCAACAACAAACGAUACCUUUUUAAAAAAUCUGUCUUUUCCAACAGAAGCAUCACUGGCGAAAACGAACAGUACUUGAGCCUGUCCACCGUCUCCCGGAGUGGAUGCCGAUUCAGGUUCUCCGGGGCCAACAGCUGCUUUGGCGCCGCCUAGUGGACACGAGCAGAAAGACAACAUUAGUACAGGAUGUUAAAUGUACCUUUUUAAACUGUCCAGAGAGACAUUCGUCCCGUUGCAGCUUUGGGGGAACCUGCAAAAGAUAAAAUGUUAAAAAAUGGUCACGUCAGCCAUUUUGCUUUGCCGCUUGCUCAAACCCAGCAGACUGCCUCAUUCGCGGUCGUCUUAUUCCUAGGGCAGCUCUGGUUGCAGCUCCGUUUCACCUGUGCACACACAAAAGUGACGUCAGCGAGACGAAUUGAAGUCAUUUACGAUGUCCUUCCCUUCCUCCAGCAGCAAAACAGCAACUUGAGGUCAGACUCUCAGAUUUCUUUCAAGACGUCUGGGGAGCGCAGUUUGCAAUGAGGUAGUUGUGAAGGAAAAAAAUUAAGAAAAUUGCACACUUUUUGUUUUUGGUUCCAACCUGAAUCACGUCAUCACUCGAAGCCUCCUGUAAGCUCAUCUUCAUGUGCUGAAAAAUUAAAACAUGAUUUCAGAGUUGUA